This 740-nucleotide ribosomal RNA is filed under the name Funneliformis geosporum. Its description in RNAcentral is "SSU rRNA". It matches the Rfam family "Eukaryotic small subunit ribosomal RNA", at positions 331 to 1074 of the family's 1831-position model. Lineage: Eukaryota; Fungi; Glomeromycota; Glomeromycetes; Glomerales; Glomeraceae. The record is from RNAcentral.
GGAUAGAGGCCUACCAUGGUGGUAACGGGUAACGGGGUGUUAGGGCACGACACCGGAGAGGGAGCCUGAGAAACGGCUACCACAUCCAAGGAAGGCAGCAGGCGCGCAAAUUACCCAAUCCCGACACGGGGAGGUAGUGACAAUAAAUAACAAUACAGGGUUCUUUUGGAUCUUGUAAUUGGAAUGAGUACAAUUUAAAUCUCUUAACGAGGAACAAUUGGAGGGCAAGUCUGGUGCCAGCAGCCGCGGUAAUUCCAGCUCCAAUAGCGUAUAUUAAAGUUGUUGCAGUUAAAAAGCUCGUAGUUGAAUUUCGGGAUCAAUGUUUCGGUCAUGCCGUUGGUAUGCACUGAUAUUAUUGAUUUCUCACCUUCUAAAGAACCGUAAUGCCAUUAAUUUGGUGUCACGGGGAAUUAGGACUGUUACCUUGAAAAAAUUAGAGUGUUUAAAGCAGGCUCACGCUUGAAUACAUUAGCAUGGAAUAAUGAAAUAGGACAUCCGAUUCUAUUUUGUUGGUUUCUAGGAUCGAUGUAAUGAUUAAUAGGGAUAGUUGGGGGCAUUAGUAUUCAAUUGUCAGAGGUGAAAUUCUUGGAUUUAUUGAAGACUAACUACUGCGAAAGCAUUUGCCAAGGAUGUUUUCAUUAAUCAAGAACGAAAGUUAGGGGAUCGAAGACGAUCAGAUACCGUCGUAGUCUUAACCAUAAACUAUGCCGACUAGGGAUCGGAUGAUGUUAAUUUUUUAA